UACAGAGGUCCCAAGCGUUGUUCGGAUUCACUGGGCGUAAAGGGUGCGUAGGUGGCGGGGUAAGUUUGAUGUGAAAUCUCCGGGCUUAACCCGGAAACUGCAUUGAAUACUAUUCUGCUCGAGGUUUGGAGGGGGGACUGGAAUUCUCGGUGUAGCAGUGAAAUGCGUAGACAUCGAGAGGAACACCAGUGGCGAAGGCGAGUCCCUGGACAACACCUGACACUGAGGCACGAAAGCUAGGGGAGCGAACGGG
Molecule: ribosomal RNA, 253 nt
Filed under: uncultured bacterium
Lineage: Bacteria
Description: partial 16S ribosomal RNA
Rfam family: Bacterial small subunit ribosomal RNA
Source: RNAcentral